This 48-nucleotide non-coding RNA is filed under the name Trichobilharzia regenti. The record is from RNAcentral. Lineage: Eukaryota; Metazoa; Platyhelminthes; Trematoda; Strigeidida; Schistosomatidae.
AUCCAGAUGAAGAGUCCCAAGUGGGACGAAAUGCGCAUCGAGCUGGAU